GUCGAACGAGUUCUCGUUGAUGAUCGGUGCUUGCACCGAGAUUCAACAUGGAACGAGUGGCGGACGGGUGAGUAACACGUGGGUAACCUGCCCUUAAGUGGGGGAUAACAUUUGGAAACAGAUGCUAAUACCGCAUAGAUCCAAGAACCGCAUGGUUCUUGGCUGAAAGAUGGCGUAAGCUAUCGCUUUUGGAUGGACCCGCGGCGUAUUAGCUAGUUGGUGAGGUAAUGGCUCACCAAGGCGAUGAUACGUAGCCGAACUGAGAGGUUGAUCGGCCACAUUGGGACUGAGACACGGCCCAAACUCCUACGGGAGGCAGCAGUAGGGAAUCUUCCACAAUGGACGCAAGUCUGAUGGAGCAACGCCGCGUGAGUGAAGAAGGCUUUCGGGUCGUAAAACUCUGUUGUUGGAGAAGAAUGGUCGGCAGAGUAACUGUUGUCGGCGUGACGGUAUCCAACCAGAAAGCCACGGCUAACUACGUGCCAGCAGCCGCGGUAAUACGUAGGUGGCAAGCGUUAUCCGGAUUUAUUGGGCGUAAAGCGAGCGCAGGCGGUUUUUUAAGUCUGAUGUGAAAGCCCUCGGCUUAACCGAGGAAGCGCAUCGGAAACUGGGAAACUUGAGUGCAGAAGAGGACAGUGGAACUCCAUGUGUAGCGGUGAAAUGCGUAGAUAUAUGGAAGAACACCAGUGGCGAAGGCGGCUGUCUGGUCUGUAACUGACGCUGAGGCUCGAAAGCAUGGGUAGCGAACAGGAUUAGAUACCCUGGUAGUCCAUGCCGUAAACGAUGAAUGCUAGGUGUUGGAGGGUUUCCGCCCUUCAGUGCCGCAGCUAACGCAUUAAGCAUUCCGCCUGGGGAGUACGACCGCAAGGUUGAAACUCAAAGGAAUUGACGGGGGCCCGCACAAGCGGUGGAGCAUGUGGUUUAAUUCGAAGCAACGCGAAGAACCUUACCAGGUCUUGACAUCUUUUGAUCACCUGAGAGAUCAGGUUU
RNAcentral lists this ribosomal RNA (990 nucleotides) under Lacticaseibacillus paracasei. RNAcentral's name for it is "bacterial SSU rRNA". It matches the Rfam family "Bacterial small subunit ribosomal RNA", at positions 61 to 1014 of the family's 1533-position model. The record is from RNAcentral. Lineage: Bacteria; Bacillati; Bacillota; Bacilli; Lactobacillales; Lactobacillaceae.